AGCAGCCGCGGUAAUUCCAGCUCCAAUAGCGUAUAUUAAAGUUGUUGCAGUUAAAAAGCUCGUAGUUGAAUUUCGGGAUCAAUAUGUUGGUCGUGCCUUGGUACGUACUGGCAUUAUUGGUUUCUACCUUCUGAAGAACCUCGAUGUCAUUAAUUUGGUGUCUUGGGGAAUCAGGACUGUUACUUUGAAAAAUUAGAGUGUUUAAAGCAGGCUCGCGCUUGAAUACAUUAGCAUGGAAUAAUGAAAUAGGACGUUUGAUUCUAUUUUGUUGGUUUCUAGGAUUGACGUAAUGAUUAAUAGGGAUAGUUGGGGGCAUUAGUAUUCAAUUGUCAGAGGUGAAAUUCUUGGAUUUAUUGAAGACUAACUACUACGAAAGCAUUUGCCAAGGAUGUUUUCAUUAAUCAAGAACGAAAGUUAGGGGAUCGAAGACGAUCAGAUACCGUCGUAGUCUUAACCAUAAACUAUGACCGACUAGGGAUCGGAUGAUGUUAAUUUUUAAUG
Molecule: ribosomal RNA, 501 nt
Filed under: uncultured Glomus
Lineage: Eukaryota; Fungi; Glomeromycota; Glomeromycetes; Glomerales; Glomeraceae
Description: SSU rRNA
Rfam family: Eukaryotic small subunit ribosomal RNA
Source: RNAcentral